This 641-nucleotide long non-coding RNA is filed under the name Olea europaea subsp. europaea. The record is from RNAcentral. Lineage: Eukaryota; Viridiplantae; Streptophyta; Magnoliopsida; Lamiales; Oleaceae.
CUGAUCUGAUCUUAGAAGAAGUUGAGAAAAACAAGAGAUAGGUUCAAGAAAAAACCAGCAGACCUUCACAACACUACCAACUGAUUCUUGAGAGUUUUAAGGAUGGCUUCAAGUGGUUUCUCAACACCUCUACCCUCAGUAUUUAUAGGUGAAAAUUAUGAUUUUUGGGCAGCAAAAAGAAGGCUUACCUGAAGGCAUACGACCUGUGGGAGACAACUGAAACUGGAAGUGAACCACCACCACUUAGGGCAAAUCCAACAAUUGAUCAACUUAAGCAACAUGGUGAAGAAGUUGCUAAGAAGUUUAAGGCUCUCUCAUGCAUCCAAUCUACUGUUUCUGACGCCAUCUUCACAAGGAUAAUCACUUGUGAAAUGGCCAAGGAAGCCUAGGACAGUUUGGAGGAGGAAUUCAGGGGCAAUGCAAGAACACAGAAAAUGCAAGUAUUAAACCUAAGGAGGGAGUAUGAAACUUUGAAGUUGAAAGACUCAGAAUCAGUUAAGGAGUAUGCUGAUAGGCUGUUGAAGGUUGUAAAUCAGAUAAGGCCACUGGGAGAUGAUGAAGAAUUGUGGAGAACGUGUUGAUCAGCCUGCCUAAAAAAUUUGAGGCAAAGAUUUCAUUUCUUGAGGAUUCAAGAGACUUGU